CAAAAGCGUAUAUUAAAGUUGUUGCAGUUAAAAAGCUCGUAGUCGAACCUAAGGGCAAACGUCCGUGCCCGACCUCUGGUCGUGGCGUGGAGUGCGCUCUUCCUUCUGUGGGUCGGUGUCGGCUUCACGGCCGGCGCCGGAACGCAGAUCCUUCACUUUGAGUAAAUUAGAGUGUUCAAAGCAGGCCUUCGCCUUGAAUAUUCUAGCAUGGAAUGAUAGAACAGGACUCUGGUUCAAUUGUGUUGGUCUAUUGGACCGGAGUAACGAUUAAUAGGGACAGUUGGGGGCAUUCAUAUUCCAUUGUCAGAGGUGAAAUUCUUGGAUUAACGGAAGAUGAACUUCUGCGAAAGCAUCUGCCAAGGAUGUUUUCAUUGA
This 375-nucleotide ribosomal RNA is filed under the name uncultured eukaryote. RNAcentral's name for it is "partial 18S ribosomal RNA". It matches the Rfam family "Eukaryotic small subunit ribosomal RNA", at positions 592 to 976 of the family's 1831-position model. The record is from RNAcentral.